RNAcentral lists this long non-coding RNA (349 nucleotides) under Chinchilla lanigera (long-tailed chinchilla). RNAcentral describes it as "lncRNA (ENSCLAG00000023316.1)". The record is from RNAcentral. Lineage: Eukaryota; Metazoa; Chordata; Mammalia; Rodentia; Chinchillidae.
AGCAAGUCCCACCCCCACCCCGCAGCAGCCUCCGGAGAGGAGAGAUGACUGCAAAAGCAGAGGGAUAAAUUCAACAUGGUGCCUCCCCUCAGGAUGCCAUCAGGCACAGGUCGUCACGCACUGAGCUACAGGUGGUGGCACGCCCUUGAACCUCCAGAACUAUGAGCCAGAUAAACCUCUUCUUUAUAAGAAACCAAGCCUCAGAUAUAAAAGAGAUCUGACCAAUAUCAGUGAUGAUCCAAAAUGUCUGCACAAGGGUUAGGGAUGUGACUCAGUGGUAGAGCUCUUGCCUUGCAUGCACAAGGCUCUGGGGUCUAUCCCCAGCACCACACACACACACACACACACA